GCUCUUGUGGCGCAGUUGGUAGCGCGUAUGCUUAACAAGCCUUAACUUGUAAAGCGCAUAAGGUCCUGAGUUCAAGCCUCAGCGGGAGUA
Filobasidium floriforme is the source of this 90-nucleotide non-coding RNA. NCBI's taxonomy places the organism in Eukaryota, Fungi, Basidiomycota, Tremellomycetes, Filobasidiales, Filobasidiaceae. The record is from the annotation of a RefSeq genome assembly.